ACCAUUCGUGCCAUUUAAGCGGCUUAAUUUUGCGACGUCUUCUGAAGGUCAAAUGAUUCAACCAUCAUGUUUUCCAAAGCAUCCAAUGGUGCGCAACUGAUGGGAUGGCAUGUGUGCUGCAAUUUGGAGUGGUUUGGCUACCCUAGUUUCCUCCUAUUCGGGUCAAGUUCCUAGCUCUGAGGUUCGUUCAUAAAAAAAGAUGUGUGGAUUGAGAAAUGCUUACCACAAAAAAUGUUAAAUGACUUCGACACCUACAUGGCGCUUGAGUACUAUGCGACGACUGUGCACUAUGUAGUUCCUGCUGGCUACUGCAAUGUGUCUUUUCGCCUGUAUUUUUUACUUGGAUAAGAGAAACUGGAAACCUUUUUCUUUAGUCAGUCUCUUGAGAUUCUCAUUUCAGUGAAGGCAUAACUUUGUUC
This is a long non-coding RNA of Populus trichocarpa (black cottonwood), 419 nucleotides long. RefSeq lists it as uncharacterized. The transcript is spliced from 2 exons. NCBI's taxonomy places the organism in Eukaryota, Viridiplantae, Streptophyta, Magnoliopsida, Malpighiales, Salicaceae. The record is from RefSeq and is a predicted model, not a curated record.